Molecule: transfer RNA, 96 nt
Filed under: Candidatus Woesearchaeota archaeon
Lineage: Archaea; Nanobdellati; Candidatus Woesearchaeota
Description: tRNA-Ala
Source: RNAcentral
GGGCUGGUAAUUCAAUCCGGAAUUGCUAAAAACAAUGGACAAUAGAAUGCGCCCUUGGCUAGGGCGAUGCUCGGGGUUCAAAUCCCCGCCAGUCCA